UAGGGAAUCAUCGGCAAUGGACGAAAGUCUGACCGAGCAACGCCGCGUGAGUGAAGAAGGUUUUCGGAUCGUAAAACUCUGUUGUUAGAGAAGAACAAGGACGUUAGUAACUGAACGUCCCCUGACGGUAUCUAACCAGAAAGCCACGGCUAACUACGUGCCAGCAGCCGCGGUAAUACGUAGGUGGCAAGCGUUGUCCGGAUUUAUUGGGCGUAAAGCGAGCGCAGGCGGUUUCUUAAGUCUGAUGUGAAAGCCCCCGGCUCAACCGGGGAGGGUCAUUGGAAACUGGGAGACUUGAGUGCAGAAGAGGAGAGUGGAAUUCCAUGUGUAGCGGUGAAAUGCGUAGAUAUAUGGAGGAACACCAGUGGCGAAGGCGGCUCUCUGGUCUGUAACUGACGCUGAGGCUCGAAAGCGUGGGGAGCAAACAGG
This 429-nucleotide ribosomal RNA is filed under the name Gemmatimonadota bacterium. RNAcentral describes it as "Gemmatimonadetes bacterium partial 16S ribosomal RNA". It matches the Rfam family "Bacterial small subunit ribosomal RNA", at positions 355 to 776 of the family's 1533-position model. Lineage: Bacteria; Pseudomonadati; Gemmatimonadota. The record is from RNAcentral.